RNAcentral lists this long non-coding RNA (1242 nucleotides) under Junco hyemalis (dark-eyed junco). Its description in RNAcentral is "lncRNA (ENSJHYG00000009569.1)". The record is from RNAcentral. Lineage: Eukaryota; Metazoa; Chordata; Aves; Passeriformes; Passerellidae.
GCCUUCUCAUCACAGGUAUAGACAGAGCUUGGUGCUCUGAAGCACACAGUAGUCUCACUUCUAACUCAUCCAUUAAAAAAAAAAAAAAAAAAAAAGAAAACAAGAGAAAAAAAAGUCCAAUCCUUUAUAAGGAGCAGCAGUAGAUAGUCCUAAAGUGCAUAUUGUAAUUUUUUAUCUCUUUUCUCACCAAAAGUGUAAUGCAUCUCUCAGUGCCCUUUCCCAUGACUAAAACAGGAGUGUACAUCUACUCUGGAACUACCUGGAACUACCUUCUAUUGGCACAGGAGGAUUACCCUACAUCCAUUGGAUGGUUUGGGUCUGCAGAUAAGUCCUAAUGGAAGUGAAGAGGGAGAAGAGAUGUUCCCUGCUCCCCAGGCACACAGGCCUGGAUAGCUGCAAUCCAGUUACAAACCUCCUCAGUGUCGGGCCAAGAGGAGGGGGAUUCUGCACUUGCAGGUGUGAUGUGGAGGUGGCUUCACAUGCGUGGGGAGGCAGGAAAAUUCAUUCCUGUACCUCACAGCUGGCAGCGAGUCCCGUACAGAGGAGCACCAAUACUGAAGGGCUGGAGCAUGGAAGAGGCUCUGAUGCCAUUACAGCUCCAAAGAUCAGGGCUUGACGGCGUUGGUACCUAAAAGGAUCAUUAAGUAGUUGCAAAUGACCGUAACACUUUAAAGAGGACUUAAUCAAGCAGAGCCGGGAUGUCUUGACAAUCUGAUAAGUGCAGCAUGCAAUUCAGAGAAUGCAAAGGCCAGGGAUGUGUGACUGGCCUUUGGGACUGAUUGUUCUGAAACAGCUCUGCUUUUUCUUUUCGAAGAGAAAUUUGAAUUACCCGGCCUUUCAAAAAUAACUGUUUAUCUUUAAAAUCAUCUCAUUUAUCAAACACUUAAAUCAGUGCAGAUUUCCUGUAAUUCAUCCUUAACCCACAGCUGAACAAAAUUCUCUUCUAUCAAGGAAUGCCGAAACUACUGGUGUUAAUUUGGUGCCUUCCAGUUAUCCAUGUCAAAAGGUGUUAAUUCGUGUAGGAAGGUUAACUCCAACUGCUUGUAUUUUUGGCGUUGUUUCCCAGGCACUUAGAUCAGUUUACAGGUACUGUAUUUAAACAACAAGUAUAGCUAGCAAAAAAAAAAAGAAAAAAAAAAAAAGAAGUUUAUUUGUGAUUUUAAGUUAGUUGUAUACACAGAUAAAUAGUUCAUUUUACAUAAUUAAGAAUAAACUCAUCAAGGGCUGCCCUGUUUAAAAACA